AUUGAACGCUGGCGGCAUGCCUUACACAUGCAAGUCGAACGGCAGCACGGGAGCAAUCCUGGUGGCGAGUGGCGAACGGGUGAGUAAUAUAUCGGAACGUGCCCAGUCGUGGGGAUAACGUAGCGAAAGCUACGCUAAUACCGCAUACGAUCUAUGGAUGAAAGCGGGGGAUCGCAAGACCUCGCGCGAUUGGAGCGGCCGAUAUCAGAUUAGGUAGUUGGUGAGGUAAAGGCUCACCAAGCCGACGAUCUGUAGCUGGUCUGAGAGGACGACCAGCCACACUGGGACUGAGACACGGUCCAGACUCCUACGGGAGGCAGCAGUGGGGAAUAUUGGACAAUGGGCGCAAGCCUGAUCCAGCCAUGCCGCGUGUGUGAAGAAGGCCUUCGGGUUGUUAAGACGACUUCUAGCGAGGAGGAA
This 420-nucleotide ribosomal RNA is filed under the name uncultured bacterium. RNAcentral's name for it is "bacterial SSU rRNA". It matches the Rfam family "Bacterial small subunit ribosomal RNA", at positions 30 to 449 of the family's 1533-position model. The record is from RNAcentral.